Jatropha curcas is the source of this 189-nucleotide non-coding RNA. Lineage: Eukaryota; Viridiplantae; Streptophyta; Magnoliopsida; Malpighiales; Euphorbiaceae. The record is from RefSeq and is a predicted model, not a curated record.
UGCGUGGUGGUCCAGAAGGUCUGGACUGGAGUGAGUGAAGAUGAGUUUAGCAUGAAGAUAAAAGAAAGAAGAUGUUUCUAGAUGAUUUGGGUCGAUUCAGUUCGAUUCGGUUCGAAUCUUUGGUUUGCAUUUGAUUUUCGAAUUUUUAACUGAUUUUUCAGUUCGGUUUAUCACGGUGCGAAUUAUUAA